RNAcentral lists this ribosomal RNA (442 nucleotides) under uncultured bacterium. Its description in RNAcentral is "partial 16S ribosomal RNA". It matches the Rfam family "Bacterial small subunit ribosomal RNA", at positions 338 to 795 of the family's 1533-position model. The record is from RNAcentral.
CCUACGGGAGGCUGCAGUGGGGAAUAUUGGGCAAUGGGCGCAAGCCUGACCCAGCAACGCCGCGUGAAGGAAGAAGGCUUUCGGGUUGUAAACUUCUUUUAAGGGGGAAGAGCCGAGGACGGUACCCCUUGAAUAAGCCACUGCUAACUACGUGCCAGCAGCCGCGGUCAUACGUAGGUGGCAAGCGUUGUCCGGGUUUACUGGGUGUAAAGGGCGUGCCGCCGGCGAGAAAAGGCAGAUGUGAAAGUCACGGGCUCAACCCGGGAACUGCAUUUGAAACUGUUUCCCUUGAGUGUCGGAGAGGUAAUCGGAAUUCCUUGUGUAGCGGUGAAAUGCGUAGAUAUAAGGAAGAACACCAGUGGCGAAGGCGGAUUACUGGACGAUAACUGACGGUGAGGCGCGAAAGCGUGGGGAGCAAACAGGAUUAGAUACCCCAGUAGUC